AUUGAACGCUGGCGGCAGGCCUAACACAUGCAAGUCGAGCGGAGGAAGGGAGCUUGCUCCUGGAUUCAGCGGCGGACGGGUGAGUAAUGCCUAGGAAUCUGCCUGGUAGUGGGGGAUAACGUCCGGAAACGGGCGCUAAUACCGCAUACGUCCUGAGGGAGAAAGUGGGGGAUCUUCGGACCUCACGCUAUCAGAUGAGCCUAGGUCGGAUUAGCUAGUUGGUGGGGUAAAGGCCUACCAAGGCGACGAUCCGUAACUGGUCUGAGAGGAUGAUCAGUCACACUGGAACGGAGACACGGUCCAGACUCCUACGGGAGGCAGCAGUGGGGAAUAUUGGACAAUGGGCGAAAGCCUGAUCCAGCCAGGCCGCGUGUGCGAAGAAGGUCUUCGGAUUGUAAAGCACUUUAAGUUGGGAGGAAGGGCAGUAAGUUAAGACCUUGCUGUUUUGACGGUACCAACAGAAUAAGCACCGGCUAACUUCGUG
This 484-nucleotide ribosomal RNA is filed under the name uncultured bacterium. RNAcentral's name for it is "partial 16S ribosomal RNA". It matches the Rfam family "Bacterial small subunit ribosomal RNA", at positions 30 to 507 of the family's 1533-position model. The record is from RNAcentral.